Long non-coding RNA from Homarus americanus (American lobster), 106 nucleotides. RefSeq lists it as uncharacterized. Lineage: Eukaryota; Metazoa; Arthropoda; Malacostraca; Decapoda; Nephropidae. The record is from RefSeq and is a predicted model, not a curated record. The transcript has 3 exons.
GGAAAGGGGACAGGUCAUGGGUACAGGUAAGGGGACAGGUCAUGGGAACAGGUAAGGGGACAGAUCAUGGGUACAGGUAAGGGGACAGAUCAUGGGUACAGGUAAG